Molecule: long non-coding RNA, 1180 nt
Organism: Hordeum vulgare subsp. vulgare (domesticated barley)
Lineage: Eukaryota; Viridiplantae; Streptophyta; Magnoliopsida; Poales; Poaceae
Exons: 2
Source: RefSeq, a predicted model, not a curated record
ACCACCCAAUCAACCACCGGUCAUGCCCUCCCCCUCCUCCUCUCCCGCGAAGCCCCAUCGCCGAUCGCUCCCUUCGCCCCACGGCCGCGUCUGCGCGCGGGUGGCCGGCCCCAUUAGAUUCGUUUGUUGCGGGCGCUGAACUAUGGAUCUGGCGCUCCGUUCGUCUCCGGGUAGGGACUGGCGCUCUUGCUGACCCCGUUGGUGGUUCUAGAUGGAUGGAUUGGUGCGUACAAGACGGGCUUAGUUGCUGACUGAUUCCGGCGUUUCCCAGCCGAGUCAGAGAGUGCGAGUUCCUAGGUUAAGCCACACAUGUCGCUGAAUGUUGUCUGAUUAGAGUGUCGACACUAAUAAUAUGAUGUAGUUUUCAAACAAUUUUUUGUUGCGACUUCUGGGUAUUCAGGAUCAGCUGCUCUGCUGCAAUCCAUCACAUGGAGCAGUCGUUCUUGGCAGGGCAUUCGAAGUCGAUGCGCUGCCUAUGCCUCUUGACCUGUAGCCACAAGAAGCUAAAAGAGCCAUGGUUCUCUCUCUCUCUCUCUGUAGUACAUAAAUAAAUCUUUUCAAUUUCAUACUUCAAUGACGCAAGGAUCUAAAUCAACAUACUGCCAAUGCCAACCACUUGUAGAGAUACCAAGGUUAGUGCAAUUGUGGAGACAUUGUUUUAUUCUACAGUGUCGUAUAUCGUUUCAGCAUUUGAAUAGGUGAGAGGGAGUACAUUAUAUACACAAGCAAUUGCUACAAGAACCUUAAGCUUUAUUCAAUAACGUAUGUUGUAUGAGGUCAUUGGUUAGGACUAUCGGAUCAUCUCGGUCACUAGCACGACAUCUGAUGUUGGUGGCGCAUGUUGACUGCACUGAUCCAAGGCAAGCUGCAGGACUUGUUGGUACCUUUCUUUUCUGAUGGCGCCAAGCAAACGACAUUGGAGACACGCAUGCCCCCAUUAAGAAGCCACAAUUCUUCACAUGUGAGGUAAGGAAAACCAUGGAGUGGAGGGUGUUUCGCCUGUAUGGCCCUCGGAGACGGGGAUCUCCUCCUACUUGGUGAAAGUCAUCGUGGAGGAGGCUGAUUCAUCUUCAAGUUUUAUCCCUGUAAUUCCCUCUCCUGCAGUUCCAGCCUUGUGAUCAAUUCAACACAAGCAGAUAAAAUUUUCAAAAUAAAGAAUUAAAUUGUGAUCCUGACUCAA